UGGGGAAUAUUGGACAAUGGGCGCAAGCCUGAUCCAGCCAUGCCGCGUGGAUGAAGAAGGCCCUAGGGUUGUAAAGUCCUUUCGGUGGUGAAGAUAAUGACGGUAACCACAGAAGAAGCCCCGGCUAAUUUCGUGCCAGCAGCCGCGGUAAUACGAAAGGGGCUAGCGUUGUUCGGAAUUACUGGGCGUAAAGCGCACGUAGGCGGCCUUGUAAGAUGGGGGUGAAAUCCCUGGGCUCAACCCAGGAACUGCCUUCAUGACUGCAAAGCUCGAGGAUGUGAGAGGUUGGCGGAAUUCCGAGUGUAGAGGUGAAAUUCGUAGAUAUUCGGAAGAACACCAGUGGCGAAGGCGGCCAACUGGCACAUUUCUGACGCUGAGGUGCGAAAGCGUGGGGAGCAAACAGGAUUAGAUACCCAGUAGUCCCUGAGCGGGCUGGCAAGGCGCAU
RNAcentral lists this ribosomal RNA (446 nucleotides) under uncultured bacterium. RNAcentral describes it as "bacterial SSU rRNA". It matches the Rfam family "Bacterial small subunit ribosomal RNA", at positions 355 to 825 of the family's 1533-position model. The record is from RNAcentral.